AGUGAACGCUGGCGGUAGGCCUAACACAUGCAAGUCGAACGGCAGCACAGUAAGAGCUUGCUCUUACGGGUGGCGAGUGGCGGACGGGUGAGGAAUACAUCGGAAUCUACUUUUUCGUGGGGGAUAACGUAGGGAAACUUACGCUAAUACCGCAUACGACCUACGGGUGAAAGCAGGGGAUCUUCGGACCUUGCGCGAUUGAAUGAGCCGAUGUCGGAUUAGCUAGUUGGCGGGGCAAAGGCCCACCAAGGCGACGAUCCGUAGCUGGUCUGAGAGGAUGAUCAGCCACACUGGAACAGAGACACGGUCCAGACUCCUACAGGAGGCAGCAGUGGGGAAUAUUGGACAAUGGGCGCGAGCCUGAUCCAGCCAUACCGCGUGGGUGAAGAAGGCCUUCGGGUUGUAAAGCCCUUUUGUUGUGAAAGAAAAGCAGCAGGUUAAUACCCCGCUGUUCUGACGGUACCCAAAGAAUAAGCACCGGCUAACUUCGUG
RNAcentral lists this ribosomal RNA (492 nucleotides) under uncultured bacterium. RNAcentral describes it as "partial 16S ribosomal RNA". It matches the Rfam family "Bacterial small subunit ribosomal RNA", at positions 29 to 507 of the family's 1533-position model. The record is from RNAcentral.